RNAcentral lists this ribosomal RNA (2900 nucleotides) under Klebsiella pneumoniae. RNAcentral describes it as "bacterial LSU rRNA". It matches the Rfam family "Bacterial large subunit ribosomal RNA". Lineage: Bacteria; Pseudomonadati; Pseudomonadota; Gammaproteobacteria; Enterobacterales; Enterobacteriaceae. The record is from RNAcentral.
UUAAGCGACUAAGCGUACACGGUGGAUGCCCUGGCAGUCAGAGGCGAUGAAGGACGUGCUAAUCUGCGAAAAGCGUCGGUAAGGUGAUAUGAACCGUUACAGCCGGCGAUGUCCGAAUGGGGAAACCCAGUGCAAUUCGUUGCACUAUCGUUAACUGAAUACAUAGGUUAACGAGGCGAACCGGGGGAACUGAAACAUCUAAGUACCCCGAGGAAAAGAAAUCAACCGAGAUUCCCCCAGUAGCGGCGAGCGAACGGGGAGCAGCCCAGAGUUUGAAUCAGCUUGUGUGUUAGUGGAACGGUCUGGAAAGUCCGACGGUACAGGGUGAUAGUCCCGUACACCAAAAUGCACAGGCUGUGAACUCGAAGAGUAGGGCGGGACACGUGGUAUCCUGUCUGAAUAUGGGGGGACCAUCCUCCAAGGCUAAAUACUCCUGACUGACCGAUAGUGAACCAGUACCGUGAGGGAAAGGCGAAAAGAACCCCGGCGAGGGGAGUGAAAAAGAACCUGAAACCGUGUACGUACAAGCAGUGGGAGCACCUUCGGGUGUGACUGCGUACCUUUUGUAUAAUGGGUCAGCGACUUAUAUUCUGUAGCAAGGUUAACCGUAUAGGGGAGCCGCAGGGAAACCGAGUCUUAACUGGGCGUUAAGUUGCAGGGUAUAGACCCGAAACCCGGUGAUCUAGCCAUGGGCAGGUUGAAGGUUGGGUAACACUAACUGGAGGACCGAACCGACUAAUGUUGAAAAAUUAGCGGAUGACUUGUGGCUGGGGGUGAAAGGCCAAUCAAACCGGGAGAUAGCUGGUUCUCCCCGAAAGCUAUUUAGGUAGCGCCUCGUGAAUUCAUCUUCGGGGGUAGAGCACUGUUUCGGCUAGGGGGUCAUCCCGACUUACCAACCCGAUGCAAACUACGAAUACCGAAGAAUGUUAUCACGGGAGACACACGGCGGGUGCUAACGUCCGUCGUGAAGAGGGAAACAACCCAGACCGCCAGCUAAGGUCCCAAAGUCAUGGUUAAGUGGGAAACGAUGUGGGAAGGCACAGACAGCCAGGAUGUUGGCUUAGAAGCAGCCAUCAUUUAAAGAAAGCGUAAUAGCUCACUGGUCGAGUCGGCCUGCGCGGAAGAUGUAACGGGGCUAAACCAUGCACCGAAGCUGCGGCAGCGACACUAUGUGUUGUUGGGUAGGGGAGCGUUCUGUAAGCCUGCGAAGGUGACCUGUGAGGGUUGCUGGAGGUAUCAGAAGUGCGAAUGCUGACAUAAGUAACGAUAAAGCGGGUGAAAAGCCCGCUCGCCGGAAGACCAAGGGUUCCUGUCCAACGUUAAUCGGGGCAGGGUGAGUCGACCCCUAAGGCGAGGCCGAAAGGCGUAGUCGAUGGGAAACAGGUUAAUAUUCCUGUACUUGGUGUUACUGCGAAGGGGGGACGGAGAAGGCUAUGUUAGCCGGGCGACGGUUGUCCCGGUUUAAGCAUGUAGGCUGAUUAUCCAGGCAAAUCCGGAUAAUCAAGGCUGAGGUGUGAUGACGAGGCACUACGGUGCUGAAGUAACAAAUGCCCUGCUUCCAGGAAAAGCCUCUAAGCAUCAGGUAACAUUAAAUCGUACCCCAAACCGACACAGGUGGUCAGGUAGAGAAUACCAAGGCGCUUGAGAGAACUCGGGUGAAGGAACUAGGCAAAAUGGUGCCGUAACUUCGGGAGAAGGCACGCUGGUGUGUAGGUGAAGUCCCUGCGGAUGGAGCUGAGACCAGUCGAAGAUACCAGCUGGCUGCAACUGUUUAUUAAAAACACAGCACUGUGCAAACACGAAAGUGGACGUAUACGGUGUGACGCCUGCCCGGUGCCGGAAGGUUAAUUGAUGGGGUUAUCCGUAAGGAGAAGCUCUUGAUCGAAGCCCCGGUAAACGGCGGCCGUAACUAUAACGGUCCUAAGGUAGCGAAAUUCCUUGUCGGGUAAGUUCCGACCUGCACGAAUGGCGUAAUGAUGGCCAGGCUGUCUCCACCCGAGACUCAGUGAAAUUGAACUCGCUGUGAAGAUGCAGUGUACCCGCGGCAAGACGGAAAGACCCCGUGAACCUUUACUAUAGCUUGACACUGAACAUUGAGCCUUGAUGUGUAGGAUAGGUGGGAGGCUUUGAAGCGUGGACGCCAGUCUGCGUGGAGCCAACCUUGAAAUACCACCCUUUAAUGUUUGAUGUUCUAACGUUGGCCCCUGACCGGGGUUGCGGACAGUGUCUGGUGGGUAGUUUGACUGGGGCGGUCUCCUCCCAAAGCGUAACGGAGGAGCACGAAGGUUAGCUAAUCCUGGUCGGACAUCAGGAGGUUAGUGCAAUGGCAUAAGCUAGCUUGACUGCGAGCGUGACGGCGCGAGCAGGUGCGAAAGCAGGUCAUAGUGAUCCGGUGGUUCUGAAUGGAAGGGCCAUCGCUCAACGGAUAAAAGGUACUCCGGGGAUAACAGGCUGAUACCGCCCAAGAGUUCAUAUCGACGGCGGUGUUUGGCACCUCGAUGUCGGCUCAUCACAUCCUGGGGCUGAAGUAGGUCCCAAGGGUAUGGCUGUUCGCCAUUUAAAGUGGUACGCGAGCUGGGUUUAGAACGUCGUGAGACAGUUCGGUCCCUAUCUGCCGUGGGCGCUGGAGAAUUGAGGGGGGCUGCUCCUAGUACGAGAGGACCGGAGUGGACGCAUCACUGGUGUUCGGGUUGUCAUGCCAAUGGCACUGCCCGGUAGCUAAAUGCGGAAGAGAUAAGUGCUGAAAGCAUCUAAGCACGAAACUUGCCCCGAGAUGAGUUCUCCCUGAGACUUUAAGUCUCCUGAAGGAACGUUAAAGACGAUGACGUUGAUAGGCCGGGUGUGUAAGCGCAGCGAUGCGUUGAGCUAACCGGUACUAAUGAACCGUGAGGCUUAACCUU